UGGGGUGUAGUUUAGUGGUAGAGAGCUUGCUUAGCAUGCAUGAGGCCCUGGGUUCCAUCCCUAGUACUGCAA
This 72-nucleotide transfer RNA is filed under the name Ictidomys tridecemlineatus (thirteen-lined ground squirrel). Its description in RNAcentral is "Spermophilus tridecemlineatus (thirteen-lined ground squirrel) tRNA". It matches the Rfam family "tRNA". Rfam says of the family: Transfer RNA (tRNA) molecules are approximately 80 nucleotides in length. Their secondary structure includes four short double-helical elements and three loops (D, anti-codon, and T loops). The record is from Rfam by way of RNAcentral. Lineage: Eukaryota; Metazoa; Chordata; Mammalia; Rodentia; Sciuridae.